UAAAAGUUCAUUUGGGUUUUU
RNAcentral lists this microRNA (21 nucleotides) under Bos taurus (domestic cattle). RNAcentral describes it as "Bta-Mir-2285-P3_5p* (star (passenger))". Lineage: Eukaryota; Metazoa; Chordata; Mammalia; Artiodactyla; Bovidae. The record is from RNAcentral.